ACAAUCGUGUCUAGUAUGAAAAGUCCGACAUCAAUUUACGCAUUUGUUACUUUGUUAGAACGUAAAAUUUUAGGGUAUAUUCAAAUUCGUAAAGGACCAAAUAAAGUUGGUUUUAUUGGACUGCUACAACCCUUUGCGGAUGCUGUGAAGUUAUUUACUAAAGAGCAAACGGUACCUGUAAAAUCUAAUUUUCUUCCAUAUUAUGCUUCACCUGUUUUUAGUUUGUUUACUGCAUUAAUUGUAUGGUUAGUAAUUCCUUAUGAAAUUGGAAUAAUAAAUUUAAAUAUAGGAGUACUUUUUUUCCUGUGUUGUUUAAGAUUAGGUGUCUAUUCAACUAUAAGAGCUGGUUGGGCUUCUAAUUGUAAAUAUUCUUUGUUAGGUAGGCUCCGGGCUGUUGCUCAAACUAUUUCUUAUGAAGUUAGUCUUGCUUUAAUUUUGCUUUCUUUUAUUUUUUUAGUCGGAGGUUUUAGUUUAGAACUUUUUAAUUUAUAUCAAGAAAGUGUGUGAUUUUUGUGGGUCACAUUGCCGUUAGCUUUAAUUUGGUUUGCUUCUUGUUUAGCCGAGACAAACCGAACUCCUUUCGAUUUUGCGGAAGGCGAAUCAGAAUUAGUGUCUGGGUUUAACACUGAGUAUAGAAGAGGUGGUUUUGCUUUAAUUUUCGUAGCUGAGUAUGCUAGAAUUUUGUUUAUAAGAGCGCUGUUCGCAUUAUUAUUUUUAGGUGGGGGUCCUUCUAGUCCUUUUUUUUAUGCAAAGUUGGUAGGAGUAAGAUUUGCGUUUAUUUGAGUUCGAGGAACUCUCCCUCGUCUUCGUUACGAUAAGUUAAUAGGGUUAGCUUGAAAAAGAUUUUUACCAGUUUCUCUUAAUUAUUUAAUUUUUUUCAUGGGGAUAAAAAUACUAUGUUAUUGUUCUAUAAUUUAGUUUAUAACUAAUUUAGUAUAUUGAAAAUGUUACGAUAGUUAAGACGUUUUAGUGUCCUUAUUGAUGUUUUCAAAACAUCUGUUUUAAAUAAACUAAACUAUCAAUCAAGCAGUUUAUCUCACAAUAAAAGUGAAAGAGGAUUGACAAUGUAGUAAAGGAAAUAUACUACUGUUAGAAUUUGCCCUGUAAUAACAAAAGGAUCCUCAACAGGUCGAGCUCCAAUUCAGGUUAGAAGAAUAACAAUUGCAAUUAAAGAUCAAAACAAAAUUUGAUUUAAAGGAUAAAAAGUUAAUCUUCGAAAUUUAGAAGUAUGGGUAAAAGGUAAAAUUAUUAAAAUUGCGAUUGAUAUAGCCAGGGCGAUUACUCCUCCUAAUUUGUUUGGAAUUGACCGCAAGAUAGCGUAUGCAAAUAAGAAGUAUCAUUCAGGUUGAAUGUGUGCUGGUGUAACUAGUGGGUUAGCUGGAACAAAGUUGUCAGGGUCUCCAAGAAGGUAGGGAUUUAGAAGAGUUAAUAAAAUUAAUGCGGUUAGUAUAACUAUAAAUCCAACAACAUCUUUAAAAGUGAAAUAAGGAUGAAAUGGAACUUUAUCAAUAUGUCUUGCAAUUCCAAGUGGGUUGUUAGCUCCAGUUUGAUGAAUAAAUAAGAUAUGGAUAAGAGUCGCAGCUGCUACUAAAAAUGGUAAUAAAAAAUGAAUUGUAAAAAAUCGAGUUAGCGUUGCAUUAUCAACUGCAAAUCCACCUCAAAUUCAUUGUACAAGUUCAGUCCCAAUAUAAGGGAUAGCAGAAAAAAGGUUAGUAAUAACUGUUGCACCUCAGAAAGAUAUUUGACCCCAAGGUAAAACAUAACCUAGAAAAGCUGUUGCUAUAACUAUGAAUAAAAUAACAACACCCACUAUUCAAGCAUGAAAAAAUAAGUAGGAUCCAUAAUACAUACCACGUCCAAUAUGUAAGUAAAGGCAAAUAAAGAAAAAAGAAGCUCCAUUAGCAUGGAGUGUACGAAGAAGUCACCCGUAAUUUACAUCUCGACAAAUAUGGGCAACACUAGAGAAAGCUAAAUCAAUAUGAGCAGUAUAGUGUAUAGCAAGAAAAAGACCAGUAACAAUUUGGACAACUAAGCACAAGCCUAGUAAAGAUCCAAAAUUUCAGAAUGUUGAAAUAUUUUUUGGAAUAGGUAUAUCUACUAAAGCUCCGUUAGCAAUUUUAAAAAGGGGAUGGCUUUUGCGAAUAGGUGUCGUCAUUAAUAGGAUAGUCGAAGUGGUCUUGAAUAAAGAUUAAAAAUUUUUACAAUAACGAUAAGAGUCAAUAGGAGAUAAAGGACUAUAAAUAAAGUAAGAUAUUGUUGGUGGUCUAUAAAUAGUUCUUACUAGAGUAGAAGUGGUAUCAAGUGAAAACAUAUCUGAAGAAAUCGCUGAUCUAAUAAUAGAAAUAUCAGGAGUAAUAUAAAGAGGGUCUUUUAGUAUUAUAAAAAUUGUCAAAAAUAAAGAAAAUCUUGAAAUAACUAUUAAAGCUGUAGCUGAGAAUUUGAAUGGCUCGUUAGAAGCAAGUGAGGCAACAUAAAUAAAUAACACUAAUAUAGCCCCCCAAAAAAUAAGAAAAAGAAUGUAUGAAAAUCAAAAAGAAUUGUUGUUCAACCCUGCAGCAAGCGAAAUCAUAACAGUUUGUAUCAAUAAUGUGAGACCUAUAGAUAGAGGAUGAAUAAGACGUGUGAAAAGUAAUGAAGUUACAAAAAUAAGAGGAAGAAUAAAAAAUAAGAUUUCAGAGAGUAGUUUAAUAAAAUAUUAGUUUUGGGAAUUAAAGAUAAAAGUUUACUUUUUUCUCUGAAGUUUUAAGAAAAUAAAUUUCAUUUUUGGUUUACAAGACCAAAGUUUUGGUUUAAACUAUUAAAACUAAUGUCAAUUCUUAGAUUAAUAUUUAUUUUUGUUCCUCUUGUCGUUGUUUUCUGUGGGUUAUGAAAUUUUGUUUCUAACCGAAAACAUUUACUUAAGAGUCCUUCUAAGUUUAGAAUUUAUUAUAUUAGGCAUUUUUUGAGUCAUAGUAAUUUGUUUAGCUAAAGUAGGAAUCGAAGCUUAUUUUACUUUAUUUUUUUUAACUAUAGCAGCUUGUGAGGGUGCUUUGGGUCUUUCUUUAUUGAUUUCUAUUGUGCGGACUCAUGGUAACGAUUGCUUCAGAAGUUUUAGAACACUACAAUGUUAAAGUUCAUUUUUAUAAAUAUUCUAUUGAUUGCGUUUGUUAAAGAGUGGUGGUUUAUUCAAAUUUCUUUAUUUUUAAUGUGUUUUAUUUUCAGGUGUUUUAUGGGACAUGACUUUUCUGUUUCGGGGUUGGGAUUAAGACUAGGUUCUGAUCAUUUAGGUUUUAUUUUAAUUAUAUUAAGAAUAUGGAUUAUGGCUUUAGUUAUUUGUGCAAGUCAAAGAAUUAAAAAAACAAAUAACUCUACUAGAGGGUUUUUAGUUGUAAAUUUACUAUUGCUGUUAGCAUUGCUUUUAACGUUUUCAGCAACAGAUUAUCUUUUGUUUUAUAUUAGAUUUGAAAGAUCUUUAAUUCCUACUUUAAUUUUAAUUUUAGGCUGGGGUUACCAACCUGAGCGAAUUCAAGCUGGAGUUUAUAUGUUAUUUUAUACAUUGUUUGCUUCUUUGCCUUUGCUUGUUUCUCUAUUAAGAUUUUAUAGAUUGGGUGGUAGUCUAACGAUAGGUUUAGUACCAUGCGCUGAAAGAUCUAAUUUUAUUACUUUUAUGUGGUAUUUUUGUACAAUUUUUGCUUUUGUAGUAAAACUUCCUAUAUAUCUAGUUCAUUUAUGACUUCCUAAGGCUCAUGUUGAAGCUCCUGUAGCUGGAUCUAUAAUUUUGGCUGGUGUUUUAUUAAAAUUAGGUGGUUAUGGUUUGAUUCGAGUUCUCUUUUUAUUUCCUGAAGUAAAUAAAAUAUUUUCUUGAUUUUGAGUUAGUGUUAGAAUUUUAGGUGGAGUAAUUGUAAGAUUUAUGUGUUUACGUCAAGUAGACAUUAAGUCAUUGAUUGCUUACUCUUCAGUAGCCCAUAUAGACUUGGUAUUGAGAGGACUAGUGGUUUUUGGUUGAUGGGGUCAAAUUGGAGCUGUAGUAAUUAUGGUGGGACAUGGUUUAUGUUCGUCUGGACUUUUUUGUCUUGCUAACAUAGUUUACGAGCGUUUAGGAAGUCGAAGAUUAUUGGUGAAUAAAGGUUUAUUGAAUUUUAUACCUAGUUUGGGAUUGUGGUGAUUUUUAUUAAGAAUUGGUAAUAUAGCAGCUCCUCCUACAAUUAAUUUAUUAGGAGAAAUUAGACUAAUUUUAAGUGUAGUAAGGUGAAGAAAACUUAGCAUGUUUGGGAUUGGUUUACUGUCUUUUUUUAGAGCUGCGUACACUUUAUACAUAUAUUCGAUAAGACAGCAUGGGUUGUUUUUUAAUUCAUUGUUUUCUUGUUGUUCGGGAAAAGUUUCUGAAUACUUAGUUUUAAUAUUACAUUGAUUGCCUUUAAAUGUUCUUAUUGUAAAAACGGCUAUAAUUUUACCAAGAUUUUA
Molecule: RNA transcript, 4443 nt
Organism: Homarus americanus (American lobster)
Lineage: Eukaryota; Metazoa; Arthropoda; Malacostraca; Decapoda; Nephropidae
Gene name: NADH-ubiquinone oxidoreductase chain 1-like
Exons: 1
Source: RefSeq, a predicted model, not a curated record